RNAcentral lists this ribosomal RNA (449 nucleotides) under uncultured bacterium. RNAcentral describes it as "partial 16S ribosomal RNA". It matches the Rfam family "Bacterial small subunit ribosomal RNA", at positions 29 to 523 of the family's 1533-position model. The record is from RNAcentral.
AGCGAACGCUGGCGGCAGGCUUAACACAUGCAAGUCGAACGCAUCCUUCGGGGUGAGUGGCAGACGGGUGAGUAACACGUGGGAACGUACCUCUUUGUUCGGAAUAGCUUUUGGAAACGAAAGGUAAUACCGGAUACGCCCUUUUGGGGAAAGAUUUAUCGCAGAGAGAUCGGCCCGCGUCUGAUUAGCUAGUUGGUGAGGUAAUGGUUCACCAAGGCGACGAUCAGUAGCUGGUCUGGGGGGAUGAUCAGCCACACUGGGACUGAGACACGGCCCAGACUCCUACGGGAGGCAGCAGUGGGGAAUAUUGGACAAUGGGCGCAAGCCUGAUCCAGCCAUGCCGCGUGAGUGAUGAAGGCCUUAGGGUUGUAAAGCUCUUUUGUCCGGGAAGAUAAUGACUGUACCGGAAGAAUAAGCCCCGGCUAACUUCGUGCCAGCAGCCGCAGUAA